Molecule: long non-coding RNA, 794 nt
Organism: Notolabrus celidotus (New Zealand spotty)
Lineage: Eukaryota; Metazoa; Chordata; Actinopteri; Labriformes; Labridae
Exons: 3
Source: RefSeq, a predicted model, not a curated record
UCCUCUGUUUUUCUCCUUUCUGUCUCAGUGUCAUCAAACCUCAAACCGGUCCAUGUGGUUCUUCCUGCAACUCUCUUGUGGAUUUUUUGGAUCUUCUGUUGGACUGUCUGGAUUCAUCAAACAUUUUGAAAGGUGAUGGACAGAAGAAUAACUCCAGGGAUAAAACCAGCAGAUAUCUUAUCUGUCACUAAAGAGGACGAUGAAUCCGCGGGGUACGCCGGCAGAGAAAAGUAAUCAAAGACCUCCAGCUCACCUCGACGUGCCGCUCUCCCUCGCACACAUGCACACGCCGUUUUGUUCCUCGUUCACGUCAGCCCUCCUUCCCCCGGCCGCUUUGACUGACAGUGGAGCCCGGGGAGCUGGAGUCAUACAGGCACAACGGAGACAUCUGUUUCUGUCAGACAGAGUUAGGUUUGAUUCUCAUGGAGCACAGAUGCCAUUAGAAGUAGAUGUCACAACACUCUUGGAUGAAUCUGUUUGGGCUGAAGCGAUCUGUUGCCUUCCAUCCAUCACUGACCGGUGGAAACAGGAACACUUAAUGCCUCACUUCACAUCUGCAGGCACUAAGUUGGAAAAUGUUGCCUGUAUGUUUUCUUCCCCUGCUUUGCAUGCUUGAAUUCUCCCUUUUAACGCCUCUCUUAAGUCAAAGCGUCCUUUUUAAAAAUCAUUUGUCAUUUCUGAGCGCAGGAUGAACAGUGGAAGUGCUGCUGAAGAGUUACAACUUAACAGAAGAAGCUGCACACUGUGAAAUAAAUUGAUGUGACUGCUGUUGCAAAUAAAAUAAAAAAAGUGUG